This 361-nucleotide transfer RNA is filed under the name uncultured Microcystis sp. RNAcentral describes it as "partial 16S-23S ribosomal RNA intergenic spacer". The stretch from base 136 to 209 matches the Rfam family "tRNA". Lineage: Bacteria; Bacillati; Cyanobacteriota; Cyanophyceae; Chroococcales; Microcystaceae. The record is from RNAcentral.
AAAGGGAGACCUAAUUCAGGUAAGAGACGAAAAAAAAGUAGUCGCUACCAAGAAUCAAUCCCAAAAGGUCGGAGCGAGGCGAAAUUGGCUUUCAAACUAGGUUCUGGGUUCAAACAAGACCUGAAUCAGGAACAAGGGCUAUUAGCUCAGGUGGUUAGAGCGCACCCCUGAUAAGGGUGAGGUCCCUGGUUCGAGUCCAGGAUGGCCCACCUGCACAGGUGGCAAAAACAAGAGAAGCGAGGAAUCAGCACCUUAUCUUACUGACAUAGUAAGAGAGAAUGCUGGCUCUGAGUAAAGAGUCCAGAGGAACCUUGAAAACUGCAUAGGGCUAGGUGAAAAAGCCAAAAAAGAAGACCGCAAG